RNAcentral lists this ribosomal RNA (553 nucleotides) under uncultured bacterium. RNAcentral describes it as "bacterial SSU rRNA". It matches the Rfam family "Bacterial small subunit ribosomal RNA", at positions 8 to 561 of the family's 1533-position model. The record is from RNAcentral.
AGGGUUUGAUCAUGGCUCAGAACGAACGUUGGCGGCGUGGAUUAGGCAUGCAAGUCGAACGAAUCCCAGUUGCUGUAGCAAUACAAUGACUGGGGGAAGUGGCGAAAGGGGCAGUAAGGCGUGGGUAACCUACCUUGGGGACGGGGAUAGCCAUUCUAACGGAUGGAUAAUACCCGGCGAUGUGACGAAGGCGCCUGUCUUUGUCAUGAAAUGAAUUUCGCCUCGAGAGGGGCUCACGUGGUAUUAGCUUGUUGGUGAGGUAACGGCUCACCAAGGCUGAGAUGCCUAGCGGGUGUGAGAGCACGACCCGCGCCACUGGCACUGAGACACUGGCCAGACUCCUACGGGAGGCUGCAGUCGAGGAUCUUCGGCAAUGGGCGCAAGCCUGACCGAGCGACGCCGCGUGCGCGAUGAAGGCCUUCGGGUUGUAAAGCGCUGUCGAGGGGGAGGAAGCCGCAAGGUUGACCUAUCCCUGGAGGAAGCUCGGGCUAAGUUCGUGCCAGCAGCCGCGGUAAGACGAACCGAGCGAACGUUGUUCGGAAUCACUGGGCUU